CCUAAAAAUAGCCCAUGAUGUCACCCCAAGGCCUUCCCAUUGGCUUGCGUCGCUCUCAGGGGGGCGGGCCCGCCCGUCGCUAUGGAGACCCCACCCUAGAAGNNNNNNNNNNNNNNNNNNNNNNNNNNNNNNNNNNNNNNNNNNNNNNNNNNGUGGGCUGACGUCUUGGGGUUUGACUGUCCUGUGACGGUGGCCGCGGCGACCUGGAGGACUGGAGCUGACGCUCGCAACUUCAGACAGAGGCGGGCUCAAAUUCAGGGCUUACGACCGGGAUGCAAGGGAUACGGAGACCCGGAAGGCUGGGGAACCGGGCCAGUUGUCUGGGCCGAGAACGUGGGGGCGGUAGUAUUUCUCCCCUUUGUGGGGAUCGAAGUCACCCACGGGCAUUUCUCCACAGCGCGGGACCCGGAGGCUGAGAGCUCGGAUUUGUACCCCCCCCCCCCCCCCCCCCCCGCGCGCUUCCGGGGAGCCGGAACGCCGCCCUUAAGUAGUUCUCUUAAGCCUCCUGUGGGGGCGAGUGAAAGUGCGCUUACGGUUAGGGGCGGUGUCGGGGAGUGGACCCCCCACAGUGAGAACGCUUCGAGUUUAUUUCUUGGUCAAGUUCGGGAGCAACCGUUGGAGCCGCUAUCUGGCUGUGCCUAGAGCCGAGUGAUUUGCAUUGCUCGAAACCCGGCACUCCGCUAAGUCCCCGCUGCGCCCCAUUUCAUUCUCCCGCACCAUGAGGGAGAGGGUGCGGGGGGGGGUUGCAGUUUUGCCUUGGUGGGAAGGUUUUUAUGUGAGGUAGUAGGAGCGAACUCAGCGUCCAAUUGGGAAUGAGCGUUUAUUUAGAGACUCCGAAACUCGGGAACCCCGGGAUCGCCUCCUCCACCCCACCCCCCACCCCAUACACCACUCCCGCCCUGAUUUGCUUCCGGGAAGACAAGUCCCGAGAACAGCAGACACGCCAAAAGUCACGCAGCGAAUUAGGGGUAGAAUCAGGAUUUAAAAUCUCUGCUGCUCGCCGGGUGAUGGGCCCAUGUCCUGUGCAGCCUCUAGGAAGCGCUAGACACAUGGAAAAAGAAAUGGGCUACUCCAGCUCUAGGUGCCAGCACUGUUUGUGUUUCCUUGGACACUCCACCCGCUUGCCAGUUGAACACUGGCCUGGUUUGGGCUUUUCUGAGAUGACAGUGAUGAUGACGAUGACGAUGACAACGAUGAGUUAAUAAAGGUUCUGAAGAAGAUCCAGACCUCGUGCUCUGCUGUUCUCUGAGGGUAGCGCUUCGUGGAACCUUGUUUGGCGCCUAGCCCUGAGGAUAUUUCUCAGGGAAAGCCCUUGGAUCCAUCAGUCUGUUUUUUCUUUUCUUUGGAAACUAUGGUGCUCCCUGUGAAAACAAAGCGAUUUGGAUUCUGUUCAGGAAAAAUGUAACCUACAAACAAAUAGCCUUGGAAAAUCUGUGCCUCACCCUCCGCGCCUGGGUCAGGCACAGGGAGAGCCCCACCCUUCUGUUGCUUUCUUGCUGGCAGCCGCCUCCUAGUUCCUUUUCUGUGUGCUGUCUCUGGCUGCUCAAGGAGCAGUGCCUCCCAUUCUUGCCUCUCCUUUCUCUGCUGCUCAGACCUCAAGUCUUUGCAAGUGCCCUUUCUCUCCCUGGAAUGUUAUUCCUCUCCCUGUCUGCAAGCCUUUAAUCAUUCUUUAAGACUCACUCCAAUAUGCCUUCCACUGUUCUGAUUCCCUCAGAUGCUUUGUUAUUCUUCCAUUCAUUAUGUUACUCAGGAGAAUUUAAAUAUUCUUCUUUUUUCAGAUAACAUAUCCCUGAUUUUAUUUUUUAAUAUAAUAAUAAUAAUGGCUGCCGAGUCUUCAGCUCUUGCUAUGUGCUAGGCACUAUAUAGCUUGAGUUACGCAUCUCAAAGUGCUCAAGAGAGAAACUAGCACAUAACAAAGUGCUCAAUACAUGCUACUUAUUAUUUAACUUAAUUUUCCCAUUGUACCUACAGUAAAUAUGAUUUGUCAUGUCUGUGAUAAUUACCAGGUUACUUGUCUGUGAGCUCCUUCCUCUGAUAUCUCCCAGCACACAAAUAUUAAAUGGAUAGUCAGUGAGUGAACAUCUAACCAUUUGAAACUGAUGACUGAGUACAGGGGUUUAUUUCAAGAGCUCCCAAAUCAAUUAAGAGUAGCAGUAGUCUAAAGAAUAUAGGACUGAGAAUCAGAAGAUGUGGGCUUGAAUUACAUUCCAACUACAAUUAGCUUUGUGACCUUGGGCAAAUUAGUCAAACUUUUCUGAACCCCAAACACCUAUUUUCUAAAAUGAGUCUAAUAGUCCCAAACUUGCCUUUCUCACAGAUUUGCCUUGAACAUUAAAUGAGAUCACACAUGGAAAAGUUUUGUGAAUUGUACACGUGUGAGAAAUUAUUGUUAAAAUCUUCUUGGCCCCCGUUGCCAUCACCACCAUAUCUGGCAGAACAUGGGCCUAUGGGUAGUUUUAGUUGAAUAAAUAUCAGUGUGCCACUUUUAUUUCUUCAGUGUCAAAAAAUACAGUUUUUUGAGGUUUGGAAUACCAGGAUUCUUUCUCAAAAUUCAUCCAAGGUAUUAACCACAAACUUUUUAAGAGGUUUUAAAAGUUCUUUGAUUUUACUACUUGUUUGCUUUUUUUUUCCCCCAAAGAAAAUUUAUUUUUAUUGUGUUUUUCUUGGAGGGAGAGUGGUGAGGAAAGGCAAAUCUCUUCAUUCUGCAUGAUUAAAGGUGGUUUCAUGCAUUUUAAAGCCACAAUUUUAUAUCUAGACUUUCUGUAGAAACCAACAUCUUUGGAAAGGGAAGGAAAAAAAAGGAGAAGGAAGAGAGUUCAGUAGGAUUUUUUUUUCCAUUUUCAUUUUUAUAUAAAAGUGUUGAGACCACAGUGAAAAAAAAUUAUUUAUCCAUAUAUGUAAUAAACCACUUUGUGAGCUACAUAUUUUUCUUUUUUUUUUUUAAGAUUUAUUUUAUUUAUUACUCUCCCCUUCCCCUGCCUUGUCUGCUCUCUCUGUCCAUUCGCUGUGUGUUCUUCUGUGUCCACUUGCAUUCUUGUCAUGUGGCACCGGGAAACUGUGUUGCUUUUCUUGUUAUGUCAUCUUGCUGCGUCCGCUCUCUGUGUAUGUGUUGCCACUCCUGGGUGGGCUAUGCUUUUCUCAUGCAGGGCAGCUCUCCUUGCGGGGUGCACUCCUUGUGCAGGGGCACCCCUACAUGGGGGAUACUCCUGCAUGGCAUAGAACUCCUUGCGCGGCAGCACCGCGUGUGGGCCAGCUCACCAUACAGGGCAGGAGGCCCAGAUUAUUGAACCCAGGACCGUCCAUAUGGUAGGCGGAUGCUCUAACAGUUGAGCCACAACAACUUCCCCAUAUUUUUGUCUUUUUCAUCUUCAGAAAUAUUCUCACCUUGACAAUGGUUAGAUAGCAUCAUGCUCAAAGACAUUCGCAGUACAGUCAAACAAAGAAAGAAACAAGCAAACACAAGUAUGUGAUAUUAAUAUAAUUGAGGUAAGAGAGGAAACUCAAACAUUUUAACAUUCACUCAAGAAGAAAUUUUUCUUUUUCUUUAUUUUGUCAGAAAAAUGCCAAGCACAGUGAAUUAUUAUUUAUUUUAAGUCACAAAAAUCUGUUUUUACCAGAAGUGGAUGACUGAUGAGCCAGCUCCUCAGACUCAGGCAUAAUCUCUAUUGGUUUUCCUAAGAAUCCACCAAUUCCCAGGGAAAUAUAAGUCUACUGGCUUGCUUUUUAAUUUCUGACCCUAAAUUUCACUGUCACAUACUUUCUCUCAGGAAGGGUCCUGUGAGAAUUGUAAUCAAUAGUAGUCUUCAUUGUUCAUUUUAAUUCAAGAAGAUAAAUGCUAGGGAUAAGGAGGAAUGAAAGAAGUAUAACACAUAGUCUUAGUCUCAAGGAGGUUACAGUCUAGUUUGGGAGCCAGAGCUAAAUCCUAGAUUUGUGGGCAAAAUAUGUGAUCUGAGAAAGGAGAGACCUUUCUGUGUUGAAGUGGUCUGUGAAGGUUUCAGGGAGAAAUUGGGCCUUACGUUAAGUCAUAGAAGAAGAUUGACAUUUAAAUUGUAAGCAUGAGAACAUAAUUCAAAAAUCCAGACAGAGGUCAGGACCAUUGAGAAAUGUUAGUAACAUUUCUCCCUCUGUAGGAUGUUGAUUUCAUUAGUUCUUGUUGGAGAUGCAAGAUGGUAUGAAAACACACUACUAAUGAACCCACUGACAAAUGUCUCAGGCCAAAAAAAAACUGCUAAUAUUCUGUGGCUCUUACUUUCACUAUAAGAAAAUAAAAACUCUUUACUUUUUCUUUUCCAUCCAUAGUUUACUUCUUUUAAAAGAUGUCAGAGAGAAAGACGUUUACAGAAAACUAUAAUGUUUUAGCUUCUGGAUCUGUAAAACCAAUGCACA
This 4386-nucleotide long non-coding RNA is filed under the name Dasypus novemcinctus (nine-banded armadillo). Its description in RNAcentral is "lncRNA (ENSDNOG00000050260.1)". The record is from RNAcentral. Lineage: Eukaryota; Metazoa; Chordata; Mammalia; Cingulata; Dasypodidae.